RNAcentral lists this ribosomal RNA (402 nucleotides) under bacterium. RNAcentral describes it as "partial 16S ribosomal RNA". It matches the Rfam family "Bacterial small subunit ribosomal RNA", at positions 355 to 776 of the family's 1533-position model. The record is from RNAcentral.
UGGGGAUUUUUGCACAAUGGGGGAAACCCUUAUGCAGCGACGCCGCGUGAUUUAGAAGGCCUUCGGGUUGUAAAAAUCUUUUCUAUGGGAAGAAAAUGACAGUACCAUAGGAAUAAGGACCGGCUAAUUACGUGCCAGCAGCCGCGGUAAUACGUAAGGUCCGAGCGUUGUCCGGAAUCAUUGGGCGUAAAGGGUACGUAGGCGGGUAAGCAAGUUAGAAGUGAAAUCCUAUAGCUCAACUAUAGUAAGCUUUUAAAACUGCUCAUCUUGAGGUAUGGAAGGGAAAGUGGAAUUCCUAGUGUAGCGGUGAAAUGCGCGGAUAUUAGGAGGAAUACCGGUGGCGAAGGCGACUUUCUGGCCAUAACCUGACGCUGAGGUACGAAAGCGUGGGUAGCAAACAGG